RNAcentral lists this long non-coding RNA (2166 nucleotides) under Citrus x clementina. RNAcentral describes it as "Citrus clementina (C. clementina) long non-coding RNA (CCLE_LNC000386)". Lineage: Eukaryota; Viridiplantae; Streptophyta; Magnoliopsida; Sapindales; Rutaceae. The record is from RNAcentral.
ACCUACCAAAAUAUUAAAAGAAACAUAAAUUUAUUUUUUAAAAAAAAUUAUUUCUCAUAUACCCUUACGAUAUACUUUUAGCAAACAUAUUAUAACACUAUAUUAAUUGUCCAUCCUAAGAUCUUGAAUUAAUAAAAUGUGCCUGCAGUCCAUUAAAAGUUUGAAUGUUAACGUAAUCGUAACAAAUUGAUAAUUUUGCCUUCAACUCAAAUUAAGGUUAAAAGACAGAUUUGUCCCAAAAACGAAACAAGCCACUAGAGCCACCGACCACCACCGUUCAGCCAGCCAACACCACCACUAAACUCGCCGGCCUCCACUGACCAAAACCCAUCUAGCCUCUGCGUGAACCAGCCGCACUGCCGUUGUUAGAGCAACCCAAACCCGCGUGCCACCACCCUAAUUUCCACUGCCUACAGACUUCACCACCGUUGAUCGUCACUAUCGUUAUGAUCCCGAGCCACUGUCCAACAAAACCCGACCAACUGCCAUCCUUAACCACCACUAUGAACUGUCGCACAAACAAUCCUCAAAUCUGCAAGUUUUAUCCCCUCAAUCUGCCUCAAUUAUUAUUACUAAGAUUGUGCAAUAAAAAAACACAUGUUGAGAAGAUUUUGCAAUCCAGGUACUAAGCAGCACUUCUCCGAACGAUUCUUUUUCUGAGAUAGCCAUGAAAAACCCCCCAAGUCUCCAAUUUUGGCAUCUUUUUUCAAAGCCAAGAUAUAACCAGCAACACCCAAAAUAUCCAGCAACCCAUAAGCUGAAACCCACUUGAUAUGAAGCAAGAAUCCAUUUUUGAGACUCCGUAAUACAAGUGCUUUUAUGCUUUUGCCUUCUUCACAUUUCAUUGUAAUACGAAAGCAAAUUAUUGGAUAUUUGAAUUGUGGGAGAAUCAAGAUUUACGCCGUCUUUGGUAUGAAGAAAGGGGCGGAAAGGGGCGGGGAGGAAAACAGUGGAGUGAAGGAAAAGAAAGAAAAAAGAGUGGAGGUUUGAUAUAAAAUUUGAUUAGGAAUUACAAUUUUUUUUUAACAAAUAGAAAAUUAUCAUUUGUAUACUCUUAGUUUACUCUAUUAUCAAAAAUACUAUAAUACUUUGAGGGUGUAUCAAUCGACCAUCCUAAGUUGACAAAAUGUAUCAGCUGACCACCAAACUGUUAGUUGCCGUUUACGUAUGAUGACGUCAGAAGGGUAAUUUGGUCUUUUCAUAUGAUACAAGUGAUAAUUUAAAGAUAUAUAAGUGAUAAAAAGAGAAUUUAAGAGUAUACAAGUGAUAAUUUUCAAGGGUAAAAUUGUCAAUUCACUGUAACUCCGUUAAUUUUCAAACGACAACUAACGGUUUGGUGGUCGGCUGAUACAUUUUGUUAACUAAGGGUGGACGAUUGAUACACCCUCAAAGUGUUGUAGUAUUUUUGAUAACAGAGCAAAUAUAAGGUAUAUGAAUGAUAAUUUCCCUUAACAAAUUUAUCAUUUGCUUAAUAUAUGAAAUUAUCUAUAUUAGUAGGCUGCGUCUACGGUGCCCUAGUUGCACCGUACCCCCUAUUUUUGUCUUUAUAGAGAUUGUCAUUUGAUGAAAAAGAACAAGAUAGUGCAGCUGUUGAGUGGGCACGUAGCCCAAGAGACAAACAGGGGAUGUAGGUCAUGACACCGGAACUGUUUGAGUUGCAAUAAAUUUAUUUUAAGGAACAAGAAAAUGUUUAUCCAUUAUAACAAUAAACAUAUUAGUUGAAACAACUAUUUUGGCAGCAAUUAAUUUGAAAGGAACAAUAAAAUGUACAUUACAUACAAGUUUAUGUUGCAAAAGCCAAAAAUUUCGAUAUACUAAUACUGUUGUAGCUGUAAAUAAGAAGUAAUAAGAUUAUUAACACUGUAAGGUUAAUGGAAGGAAAAUCUAUCUAAGCCUGAAAGGAUACAAACUACAUCUGUUCGAAUUUAUGGUAGCUGAAAAAUCUUUCAUGAUUUGUUUUACUCCUUGAUCAUAGAAGUGGGUUGAAUUAAUUUAUAUAUUUGAAAUUAUGUGGUUGAAUAAUGAUGGCAUGGCUAGGGAUGGCAAUGGGCACCGCCCGCAGCGGGUUUGCCAUUACCAAACCCAAAUCCGCACAAAAUUUAAAUUACUAAACCCACCCGCAACCCGCAGCGGGUUUUAAUUUUUUCAAAAAAACCCACCUGCAGC